RNAcentral lists this ribosomal RNA (467 nucleotides) under uncultured bacterium. RNAcentral's name for it is "partial 16S ribosomal RNA". It matches the Rfam family "Bacterial small subunit ribosomal RNA", at positions 28 to 507 of the family's 1533-position model. The record is from RNAcentral.
GACGAACGCUGGCGGCGUGCUUAACACAUGCAAGUCGAACGGAAAGGCCCUGCUUUUGUGGGGUGCUCGAGUGGCGAACGGGUGAGUAACACGUGAGUAACCUGCCCUUGACUUUGGGAUAACUUCAGGAAACUGGGGCUAAUACCGGAUAGGAGCUCCUGCUGCAUGGUGGGGGUUGGAAAGUUUCGGCGGUUGGGGAUGGACUCGCGGCUUAUCAGCUUGUUGGUGGGGUAGUGGCUUACCAAGGCUUUGACGGGUAGCCGGCCUGAGAGGGUGACCGGCCACAUUGGGACUGAGAUACGGCCAGACUCCUACGGGAGGCAGCAGUGGGGAAUAUUGCACAAUGGGCGGAAGCCUGAUGCAGCAACGCCGCGUGCGGGAUGACGGCCUUCGGGUUGUAAACCGCUUUCGCCUGUGACGAAGCGUGAGUGGCGGUAAUGGGUAAAGAAGCACCGGCUAACUACGUG